RNAcentral lists this ribosomal RNA (377 nucleotides) under Libinia mexicana. RNAcentral describes it as "partial 16S ribosomal RNA". The stretch from base 263 to 377 matches the Rfam family "Bacterial large subunit ribosomal RNA", at positions 2473 to 2588 of the family's 2925-position model. The record is from RNAcentral. Lineage: Eukaryota; Metazoa; Arthropoda; Malacostraca; Decapoda; Majidae.
AAAAGAAUUACUGUCUAUUUUAUAAAAAUUGAAUUUAACUUUUAAGUGAAAAGGCUUAAAUAUUUUAAUGGGACGAUAAGACCCUAUAAAGCUUUAUAAUAAAAUAUUAAUUUUUGAAAUAAAUUUAUAAAGAAAAUAUAUUAUUUUUUUAUUUUAUUGGGGCGAUUCUGAUAAAAAUAUAAUUAACUGUCAUAAUUAAAUACAUAUAUCUAUGAAAUUUUAAUGAUCCUAAUUAAAGAUUAAAAGACCAAGUUACUUUAGGGAUAACAGCGUUAUUUCUUUUAAGAGUUCUUAUUGAAAAAGAAGAUUGCGACCUCGAUGUUGAAUUAAAAUAUCUUCACAGUGUAGCCGUUGUGAGAGAGGGUCUGUUCGMCCUU